Molecule: transfer RNA, 58 nt
Filed under: Ricinus communis (castor bean)
Lineage: Eukaryota; Viridiplantae; Streptophyta; Magnoliopsida; Malpighiales; Euphorbiaceae
Rfam family: tRNA
About the family: Transfer RNA (tRNA) molecules are approximately 80 nucleotides in length.
Source: Rfam by way of RNAcentral
UAGCUCAGAGGUUAGAGCAUCGCAUUUGUAAUGCGAUGGUCAUCGGUUCGACUAUGAU